Molecule: microRNA, 22 nt
Filed under: Pristionchus pacificus
Lineage: Eukaryota; Metazoa; Nematoda; Chromadorea; Rhabditida; Neodiplogasteridae
Description: ppc-miR-2237c
Source: miRBase by way of RNAcentral
UACCCGUAAUUUCUCGGACAGU